UACGUAGGGGGCAAGCGUUAUCCGGAUUUACUGGGUGUAAAGGGAGCGCAGACGGCUCUGCAAGUCUGAAGUGAAAGCCCGCGGCUUAACCGCGGGACUGCUUUGGAAACUGCAAGGCUUGAGUAUCGGAGGGGCAGGCGGAAUUCCUAGUGUAGCGGUGAAAUGCGUAGAUAUUAGGAAGAACACCGGUGGCGAAGGCAGCCUGCUGGACGAAAACUGACGUUGAGGCUCGAAGGCGUGGGGAGCAAACAGG
This 253-nucleotide ribosomal RNA is filed under the name uncultured bacterium. RNAcentral describes it as "partial 16S ribosomal RNA". It matches the Rfam family "Bacterial small subunit ribosomal RNA", at positions 524 to 776 of the family's 1533-position model. The record is from RNAcentral.